This 743-nucleotide ribosomal RNA is filed under the name uncultured bacterium. RNAcentral's name for it is "bacterial SSU rRNA". It matches the Rfam family "Bacterial small subunit ribosomal RNA", at positions 28 to 748 of the family's 1533-position model. The record is from RNAcentral.
AACGAACGCUGGCGGCGUGCCUAACACAUGCAAGUCGAACGUGAUUAGAGAGCUUGCUCUCUAUGAAAGUGGCGCACGGGUGAGUAACGCGUAGAUAAUCUACCUGAUGAUUCGGGAUAACACUUCGAAAGGGGCGCUAAUACCGGAUAAGCCCACGGAGUCCUUGGACUCUGCGGGAAAAGGGGGGGACCUUCGGGCCUUCCGUCAUCAGAUGAGUCUGCGUACCAUUAGCUAGUUGGUAGGGUAAAGGCCUACCAAGGCGACGAUGGUUAGCUGGUCUGGGAGGAUGAUCAGCCACACUGGAACUGAGACACGGUCCAGACUCCUACGGGAGGCAGCAGUGGGGAAUUUUGCGCAAUGGGGGAAACCCUGACGCAGCAACGCCGCGUGAGUGAUGAAGGCCCUUGGGUCGUAAAGCUCUGACAGAGGGAAAGAAAUGUAGAGUGGCUAAUAUCCACAUUACUUGACGGUACCCUCAAAGGAAGCACCGGCUAACUCCGUGCCAGCAGCCGCGGUAAUACGGGGGGUGCAAGCGUUGUUCGGAUUUAUUGGGCGUAAAGCGCGUGUAGGCGGUUUUAUAAGUCUGAUGUGAAAGCCCUGGGCUCAACCCGGGAAGUGCAUUGGAUACUGUAAGACUUGAAUACGGGAGAGGGUAGUGGAAUUCCUAGUGUAGGAGUGAAAUCCGUAGAUAUUAGGAGGAACACCGGUGGCGAAGGCGGCUGCCUGGACCGAUAUUGACGCUG